Molecule: unclassified non-coding RNA, 540 nt
Filed under: Hevea brasiliensis (rubber tree)
Lineage: Eukaryota; Viridiplantae; Streptophyta; Magnoliopsida; Malpighiales; Euphorbiaceae
Source: RNAcentral
GGUUAUAUUAAGGUUGGACAUGAGCAUAAAGUGUAUAAACUAAAAAAGGCAUUGUAUGGUUUGAAACAAGCCCCACGGGCUUGGUAUGGUCGAAUUGAAGCCUAUUUCUUGAAAGAAGGUUUUCACAAAUGCCCCUAUAAACAUACAUUUUUUAUGAAAUUGGAGUAUGAUGGGAGGGUGCUCAUGGUCUGUCUCUAUGUAGACGAUUUAAUUUACACUGGUAAUGACAAGGGCAUGAUUGAUAAGUUUAAAGAGUCUAUGAUGAAUGAGUUUGAUAUGAGUAAUCUUGGAAUGAUGCGUUAUUUUCUUGGUAUAGAAGUGACUCAAUCUGCAGGUGGCAUUUUUAUUUCUCAAGAAAAGUACGUAGAAGAAGUCCUAGACAGAUUUCAAAUGAAAAAUUGCAACUCUGCGAGUACUCCAAUGGAUACAGGAAUGAAACUUGUCAAAGAUCCUGCAGGAAAGAGUGUUGACAGCACACUUUACAAACAGAUUGUUGGUAGCUUGAUGUAUGUAACCACUACAAGACCAGACAUUAUGUAU